This 253-nucleotide ribosomal RNA is filed under the name uncultured bacterium. Its description in RNAcentral is "partial 16S ribosomal RNA". It matches the Rfam family "Bacterial small subunit ribosomal RNA", at positions 524 to 776 of the family's 1533-position model. The record is from RNAcentral.
UACGUAGGGGGCAAGCGUUGUCCGGAAUCAUUGGGCGUAAAGAGCGUGUAGGCGGCUUGGUAAGUCCGCUGUGAAAGUCCAGGGCUCAACCCUGGAAUGCCGGUGGAAACUGUCAAGCUCGAGUCCGGAAGAGGCGAGUGGAAUUCCUGGUGUAGCGGUGAAAUGCGCAGAUAUCAGGAGGAACACCAAUGGCGAAGGCAGCUCGCUGGGACGGUACUGACGCUGAGACGCGAAAGCGUGGGGAGCAAACAGG